AUGGCUUCAUCCGGUUCCAUGACGAGGCCACCGUGUGCUAACUAAGAAGACAUGCCGAACAAGUGGGAGGACGCAUCUUUGGACAAGGUGAAGGAGAAAGAUGUCAACAUCCCGCAAUGUUGGUGUGCAGAUGUUUGCAAGGUGAAGGUGUCCACCGACCGAAAGAAAGCAUGGACGGAAGGGCGGAGAUAUUUUGUAUGCCCGAACUAUGCUUAUGAUCGUGCACUUCCAACUAACGCCUAUGACCAACCACCGGUAAGCUCGAUAAGUAAAAUGUUACUCUGA
This 285-nucleotide ribosomal RNA is filed under the name Triticum aestivum (bread wheat). Its description in RNAcentral is "partial small subunit ribosomal RNA". Lineage: Eukaryota; Viridiplantae; Streptophyta; Magnoliopsida; Poales; Poaceae. The record is from RNAcentral.